CUGAGAGGACUCUCGCUCUUUUGCUGCAUGGUCACUCACAUGGAGGAUCUGGUAGACUUUAAAAUACUUUUCAAAUAUCCUUCACAAUCCAGCC
Aotus nancymaae (Ma's night monkey) is the source of this 94-nucleotide unclassified non-coding RNA. The record is from Ensembl. Lineage: Eukaryota; Metazoa; Chordata; Mammalia; Primates; Aotidae.